AUUGAACGCUGGCGGAAUGCUUUACACAUGCAAGUCGAACGGUAGAGGGGGCAACCCCUCGAGAGUGGCGAACGGGUGAGUAAUAUAUCGGAACGUGCCCAGUCGUGGGGGGAUAACGUAGCGAAAGUUACGCUAAUACCGCAUACGAUCUAAGGAUGAAAGCGGGGGAUCGCAAGACCUCGCGCGAUUGGAGCGGCCGAUAUCAGAUUAGGUAGUUGGUGGGGUAAAGGCUCACCAAGCCAACGAUCUGUAGCUGGUCUGAGGGGACGACCAGCCACACUGGAACUGAGACACGGUCCAGACUCCUACGGGAGGCAGCAGUGGGGAAUUUUGGACAAUGGACGCAAGUCUGAUCCAGCCAUUCCGCGUGCAGGAUGAAGGCCCUCGGGUUGUAAACUGCUUUUGUACGGAACGAAAAGGUCUCUCUUAAUACGGGGGGCUCAUGACGGUACCGUAAGAAUAAGCACCGGCUAACUACGUGCCAGCAGCCGCCGUAA
Molecule: ribosomal RNA, 497 nt
Filed under: uncultured bacterium
Lineage: Bacteria
Description: partial 16S ribosomal RNA
Rfam family: Bacterial small subunit ribosomal RNA
Source: RNAcentral